UACAGAGGGUGCGAGCGUUAAUCGGAAUUACUGGGCGUAAAGCGCGCGUAGGCGGCUUUGCAAGUCGGGUGUGAAAUCCCCAGGCUUAACCUGGGAACUGCAUUCGAGACUGCAUUGCUAGAGUAUGGGAGAGGGAAGUGGAAUUUCCGGUGUAGCGGUGAAAUGCGUAGAUAUCGGGAGGAACACCGGUGGCGAAGGCGGCGAUCUGGGUAGAUACUGACGCUGAGGUGCGAAAGCGUGGGGAGCAAACAGG
This 253-nucleotide ribosomal RNA is filed under the name uncultured bacterium. Its description in RNAcentral is "partial 16S ribosomal RNA". It matches the Rfam family "Bacterial small subunit ribosomal RNA", at positions 524 to 776 of the family's 1533-position model. The record is from RNAcentral.